Long non-coding RNA from Mangifera indica (mango), 518 nucleotides. RefSeq lists it as uncharacterized. The record is from RefSeq and is a predicted model, not a curated record. The transcript is spliced from 2 exons. NCBI's taxonomy places the organism in Eukaryota, Viridiplantae, Streptophyta, Magnoliopsida, Sapindales, Anacardiaceae.
AAAACCAACAUUAGAAUUGACCAAUGCCAUUACCUCGAAACAACUACCUCUCUUUUCUCCACCACAUAUAUCUUUUUAUACCCAAAAUCUCCUUCUCCUCCAAUCCUCAUCGUCCUCUCACUCCCUGCAUCUUUUUGUCACUGUGUCUGUCUGUCUCUGAGAGCAAGAUGAAUCAUGGAAUCAAAUUACUCGUGUUUUUUUUAUCGAUAGUCGAUUUCAGGGCGGCUCAAGGACAAGAUGGAGAGCAACUGCUGCAGCCAAUCGGAGGAACUGAGUACAGAAUUAUGGAGGAGGUGGUGGUGGAUAAUAGACGAAGACUCACGCCGUUUCAGCUCUGCUUGGUCUGCAAAUGCUGCAGCGGUGCCACCUGUGUCACCAUGUCUUGCUGCUUUGGAAUCGACUGCCAGCUUCCCGGCAAACCUUAUGGGGUUUGCGCUUUCGUCCCCAAAACCUGCAACUGUACUUCCUGUGCUCAGUAAUUUGACAAUAUCAUAUUUCAAUAAAAACAUAUAUGACCA